GUAGGGAAUAUUGGGCAAUGGAUGAAAGUCUGACCCAGCCAUGCCGCGUGCCGGAUGAAGGCGCUCAGCGUUGUAAACGGCUUUUAUUCGGGAAGAAGAGCAGGGAUGCGUCCCUGUGUGACGGUACCGAAUGAAUAAGCACCGGCUAACUCCGUGCCAGCAGCCGCGGUAAUACGGAGGGUGCGAGCGUUGUCCGGAUUUAUUGGGUUUAAAGGGUGCGUAGGUGGCCAAAUAAGUCAGUGGUGAAAUACGGUUGCUCAACAAUCGAGGUGCAAUUGAUACUGCUUGGCUUGAAAUAAUUGGAGGCUGCCGGAAUGGAUGGUGUAGCGGUGAAAUGCAUAGAUAUCAUCCAGAACACCGAUUGCGAAGGCAGGUGGCUACGAUUUAUUUGACACUGAGGCACGAAAGCAUGGGGAGCAAACAGGAUUAGAAACCCGAGUAGUCC
This 445-nucleotide ribosomal RNA is filed under the name uncultured bacterium. Its description in RNAcentral is "bacterial SSU rRNA". It matches the Rfam family "Bacterial small subunit ribosomal RNA", at positions 354 to 796 of the family's 1533-position model. The record is from RNAcentral.